AUGAUCAUCUUGGCCUGGAACUGCCGAGGAUUGGGGUUGGACUCGGCAGUGGGCGAACUUCGGGACCUGGUUAGGUCGUACAACCCAGCGGUGGUCUUUUUAUCUGAAACCAAGAAGAGAUCGGGAGCUAUGGAUAGGCUAAAGUGGAGCUUGGAUUUCAACAAGGGUGUGGCGGUGGAUUGUAAGGGCAAGAGUGGAGGUCUAGCGUUGUGG
Molecule: ribosomal RNA, 213 nt
Filed under: Triticum aestivum (bread wheat)
Lineage: Eukaryota; Viridiplantae; Streptophyta; Magnoliopsida; Poales; Poaceae
Description: partial small subunit ribosomal RNA
Source: RNAcentral